This 397-nucleotide ribosomal RNA is filed under the name uncultured bacterium. RNAcentral describes it as "bacterial SSU rRNA". It matches the Rfam family "Bacterial small subunit ribosomal RNA", at positions 362 to 776 of the family's 1533-position model. The record is from RNAcentral.
UCUNCCACAAUGGGCGAAAGCCUGAUGCAGCNACGCCGCGUGAGUGAAGAAGUAUUUCGGUAUGUAAAGCUCUAUCAGCAGGGAAGAAAAUGACGGUACCUGAAUAAGAAGCCCCGGCUAACUACGUGCCAGCAGCCGCGGUAAUACGUAGGGGGCAAGCGUUAUCCGGAUUUACUGGGUGUAAAGGGAGCGUAGACGGUUAUGCAAGUCUGGAGUGAAAGCCCGGGGCUCAACCCCGGGACUGCUUUGGAAACUGUAAAACUGGAGUGCAGGAGAGGCAGGCGGAAUUCCUAGUGUAGCGGUGAAAUGCGUAGAUAUUAGGAGGAACACCAGUGGCGAAGGCGGCCUGCUGGACUGUAACUGACGUUGAGGCUCGAAAGCGUGGGGAGCAAACAGG